RNAcentral lists this ribosomal RNA (2901 nucleotides) under Escherichia coli. RNAcentral's name for it is "23S ribosomal RNA". It matches the Rfam family "Bacterial large subunit ribosomal RNA". The record is from RNAcentral. Lineage: Bacteria; Pseudomonadati; Pseudomonadota; Gammaproteobacteria; Enterobacterales; Enterobacteriaceae.
UUAAGCGACUAAGCGUACACGGUGGAUGCCCUGGCAGUCAGAGGCGAUGAAGGACGUGCUAAUCUGCGAUAAGCGUCGGUAAGGUGAUAUGAACCGUUAUAACCGGCGAUUUCCGAAUGGGGAAACCCAGUGUGAUUCGUCACACUAUCAUUAACUGAAUCCAUAGGUUAAUGAGGCGAACCGGGGGAACUGAAACAUCUAAGUACCCCGAGGAAAAGAAAUCAACCGAGAUUCCCCCAGUAGCGGCGAGCGAACGGGGAGGAGCCCAGAGCCUGAAUCAGUGUGUGUGUUAGUGGAAGCGUCUGGAAAGGCGCGCGAUACAGGGUGACAGCCCCGUACACAAAAAUGCACAUAUUGUGAGCUCGAUGAGUAGGGCGGGACACGUGGUAUCCUGUCUGAAUAUGGGGGGACCAUCCUCCAAGGCUAAAUACUCCUGACUGACCGAUAGUGAACCAGUACCGUGAGGGAAAGGCGAAAAGAACCCCGGCGAGGGGAGUGAAAAAGAACCUGAAACCGUGUACGUACAAGCAGUGGGAGCCUCUUUAUGGGGUGACUGCGUACCUUUUGUAUAAUGGGUCAGCGACUUAUAUUCUGUAGCAAGGUUAACCGAAUAGGGGAGCCGAAGGGAAACCGAGUCUUAACUGGGCGUUAAGUUGCAGGGUAUAGACCCGAAACCCGGUGAUCUAGCCAUGGGCAGGUUGAAGGUUGGGUAACACUAACUGGAGGACCGAACCGACUAAUGUUGAAAAAUUAGCGGAUGACUUGUGGCUGGGGGUGAAAGGCCAAUCAAACCGGGAGAUAGCUGGUUCUCCCCGAAAGCUAUUUAGGUAGCGCCUCGUGAAUUCAUCUCCGGGGGUAGAGCACUGUUUCGGCAAGGGGGUCAUCCCGACUUACCAACCCGAUGCAAACUGCGAAUACCGGAGAAUGUUAUCACGGGAGACACACGGCGGGUGCUAACGUCCGUCGUGAAGAGGGAAACAACCCAGACCGCCAGCUAAGGUCCCAAAGUCAUGGUUAAGUGGGAAACGAUGUGGGAAGGCCCAGACAGCCAGGAUGUUGGCUUAGAAGCAGCCAUCAUUUAAAGAAAGCGUAAUAGCUCACUGGUCGAGUCGGCCUGCGCGGAAGAUGUAACGGGGCUAAACCAUGCACCGAAGCUGCGGCAGCGACGCUUAUGCGUUGUUGGGUAGGGGAGCGUUCUGUAAGCCUGUGAAGGUGUGCUGUGAGGCAUGCUGGAGGUAUCAGAAGUGCGAAUGCUGACAUAAGUAACGAUAAAGCGGGUGAAAAGCCCGCUCGCCGGAAGACCAAGGGUUCCUGUCCAACGUUAAUCGGGGCAGGGUGAGUCGACCCCUAAGGCGAGGCCGAAAGGCGUAGUCGAUGGGAAACAGGUUAAUAUUCCUGUACUUGGUGUUACUGCGAAGGGGGGACGGAGAAGGCUAUGUUGACCGGGCGACGGUUGUCCCGGUUUAAGCGUGUAGGCUGGUUUUCCAGGCAAAUCCGGAAAAUCAAGGCUGAGGCGUGAUGACGAGGCACUACGGUGCUGAAGCAACAAAUGCCCUGCUUCCAGGAAAAGCCUCUAAGCAUCAGGUAACAUCAAAUCGUACCCCAAACCGACACAGGUGGUCAGGUAGAGAAUACCAAGGCGCUUGAGAGAACUCGGGUGAAGGAACUAGGCAAAAUGGUGCCGUAACUUCGGGAGAAGGCACGCUGAUAUGUAGGUGAAGCGACUUGCUCGUGGAGCUGAAAUCAGUCGAAGAUACCAGCUGGCUGCAACUGUUUAUUAAAAACACAGCACUGUGCAAACACGAAAGUGGACGUAUACGGUGUGACGCCUGCCCGGUGCCGGAAGGUUAAUUGAUGGGGUCAGCGCAAGCGAAGCUCUUGAUCGAAGCCCCGGUAAACGGCGGCCGUAACUAUAACGGUCCUAAGGUAGCGAAAUUCCUUGUCGGGUAAGUUCCGACCUGCACGAAUGGCGUAAUGAUGGCCAGGCUGUCUCCACCCGAGACUCAGUGAAAUUGAACUCGCUGUGAAGAUGCAGUGUACCCGCGGCAAGACGGAAAGACCCCGUGAACCUUUACUAUAGCUUGACACUGAACAUUGAGCCUUGAUGUGUAGGAUAGGUGGGAGGCUUUGAAGUGUGGACGCCAGUCUGCAUGGAGCCGACCUUGAAAUACCACCCUUUAAUGUUUGAUGUUCUAACGUUGACCCGUAAUCCGGGUUGCGGACAGUGUCUGGUGGGUAGUUUGACUGGGGCGGUCUCCUCCUAAAGAGUAACGGAGGAGCACGAAGGUUGGCUAAUCCUGGUCGGACAUCAGGAGGUUAGUGCAAUGGCAUAAGCCAGCUUGACUGCGAGCGUGACGGCGCGAGCAGGUGCGAAAGCAGGUCAUAGUGAUCCGGUGGUUCUGAAUGGAAGGGCCAUCGCUCAACGGAUAAAAGGUACUCCGGGGAUAACAGGCUGAUACCGCCCAAGAGUUCAUAUCGACGGCGGUGUUUGGCACCUCGAUGUCGGCUCAUCACAUCCUGGGGCUGAAGUAGGUCCCAAGGGUAUGGCUGUUCGCCAUUUAAAGUGGUACGCGAGCUGGGUUUAGAACGUCGUGAGACAGUUCGGUCCCUAUCUGCCGUGGGCGCUGGAGAACUGAGGGGGGCUGCUCCUAGUACGAGAGGACCGGAGUGGACGCAUCACUGGUGUUCGGGUUGUCAUGCCAAUGGCACUGCCCGGUAGCUAAAUGCGGAAGAGAUAAGUGCUGAAAGCAUCUAAGCACGAAACUUGCCCCGAGAUGAGUUCUCCCUGACUCCUUGAGAGUCCUGAAGGAACGUUGAAGACGACGACGUUGAUAGGCCGGGUGUGUAAGCGCAGCGAUGCGUUGAGCUAACCGGUACUAAUGAACCGUGAGGCUUAACCUU